AAGCUCGUAGUUGAACCUUGGGCCUGGCUGGCCGGUCCGCCUCACCGCGUGUACUGGUCCGGCCGGGCCUUUCCCUCUGUGGAACCCCAUGCCCUUCACUGGGUGUGGCGGGGAAACAGGACUUUUACUUUGAAAAAAUUAGAGUGCUCCAGGCAGGCCUAUGCUCGAAUACAUUAGCAUGGAAUAAUAGAAUAGGACGUGUGGUUCUAUUUUGUUGGUUUCUAGGACCGCCGUAAUGAUUAAUAGGGACAGUCGGGGGCAUCAGUAUUCAAUUGUCAGAGGUGAAAUUCUUGGAUUUAUUGAAGACUAACUACUGCGAAAGCAUUUGCCAAGGAUGUUUUCAUUAAUCAGGAACGAAAGUUAGGGGAUCGAAGACGAUCAGAUACCGUCGUAGUCUUAACCAUAAACUAUGCCGACUAGGGAUCGGACGAUGUUAUUUUUUGACUCGUUCGGCA
Molecule: ribosomal RNA, 455 nt
Filed under: uncultured fungus
Lineage: Eukaryota; Fungi
Description: SSU rRNA
Rfam family: Eukaryotic small subunit ribosomal RNA
Source: RNAcentral